UUUCGGGUAGGGGUAAGGCUCGUCUACAUAUUACCCUCCCCAGACCCCACUUUGUGGGACGAAACUAGGUAGUUGUUGUUGUUAUAAAUUGGUUGCUCCCAUCAUGUUUUCUGUUGAUCUAUGACCGGUCAGACUUUUCUAUAUGUGAUGCUCCUUCCAUUUCAAUUAAUGUAAAGAAAGAUACUUGAAAACUGUGUUAAAAUUCAAUUUCUUAAUCUUCUAAGACGUCCUUCGAAUCACCAGGUUAAAAAGAAUUCCAUAGCAAAAUCUAAACUAUGGAGAUUCUGAUGACAUUUCUGAUCACGGUUUAACUUAUUGAUAGAUAAACAGAUAACCAGAUACGUUUGCAACAAGAAGGAAAUCUUUGAGAAAGAGCUCCGGUCACUCGAGGCCCGAAUCACCAGGUUAAAAUUCCAUAGCAAAAUCUAAACUAUGGAGAUUCUGAUGACAUUUCUGAUCACGGUUUAACUUAUUGAUAGAUAAACAGAUAACCAGAUACGUUUGCAAUAAGAAGGAAAUCUUUGAGAAAGAGCUCCGGUCACUCGAGGCAUUAGAUUCCGUCGUUGGACUAGGGUUAAUCUCAUCUGAAACUGUAACUU
Molecule: long non-coding RNA, 599 nt
Filed under: Nicotiana benthamiana
Lineage: Eukaryota; Viridiplantae; Streptophyta; Magnoliopsida; Solanales; Solanaceae
Description: long non-coding RNA (NBEN_LNC039906)
Source: RNAcentral